This 2841-nucleotide ribosomal RNA is filed under the name Escherichia coli. Its description in RNAcentral is "23S ribosomal RNA". It matches the Rfam family "Bacterial large subunit ribosomal RNA". Lineage: Bacteria; Pseudomonadati; Pseudomonadota; Gammaproteobacteria; Enterobacterales; Enterobacteriaceae. The record is from RNAcentral.
GGGUUGUGAGGUUAAGCGACUAAGCGUACACGGUGGAUGCCCUGGCAGUCAGAGGCGAUGAAGGACGUGCUAAUCUGCGAUAAGCGUCGGUAAGGUGAUAUGAACCGUUAUAACCGGCGAUUUCCGAAUGGGGAAACCCAGUGUGUUUCGACAAUAAUUAUCAUUAACUGAAUCCAUAGGGUUAUGAUGGCGGAACCGGAAACAUCUAAGUACCCCGAGGAAAAGAAAUCAACCGAGAUUCCCCCAGUAGCGGCGAGCGAACGGGGAGCAGCCCAGAGCCUGAAUCAGUGUGUUAGUGAAGCGCCCAGGUUAAGUGCGAUAUGGUAAGGCGACAGUACAAUAAAAACAGAUAACAUGCUGCGAGCCUGAUGAGUAGGGCGGGACACGUGGUAUCCCGGUCUGAAUAUGGGGACCAUCCUCCGCUAAAUACCCUGACCGGACCGAUAGCAGAACCAGUACCGUGAGGGAAAGGCGAAAACCCGCGAGGGGAGCGGCAAAAAGAACCUGAAACCGUGUACGCACAAGCAGGGAGCACGCUUAGGCGUGACUGCGUACCUUUAUGGUAGGCAAUGGGUCGCGACUUAUAUUCUAAAGGUUAACCGAAUAGGUGGGAAGGAAACCGAGUCUUUAACUGGGCGUUAAGUUGCAGGGUAUAGACCUGAAACCCGCAUCUAGCCACAAGAAGAAAGGUUAAAGUAACAAUAACUGAGGACUGAAACCGACUAAUACGUUGAAAAUUAGCGGAUGACUUGUGGCUGGGGUGAAAGGCCAAUCAAACCGGGGAGAUAGCUGGUUCUCCUCGAAAGCUAUUAUAGGUAGCGCCCGUGAAUCAUCUCCGGGGGUAGAGCACUGUUUCGGCAAGGGGGUCAUCCCGACUUACCAACCCGAUGCAAACUGCGAAUACCGGAGAAUGUUAUCACGGGAGACACACGGCGGGUGCUAACGUCCGUCGUGAAGAGGGAAACAACCCAGACCGCCAGCUAAGGUCCCAAAGUCAUGGUUAAGUGGGAAACGAUGUGGGAAGGCCCAGACAGCCAGGAUGUUGGCUUAGAAGCAGCCAUCAUUUAAAGAAAGCGUAAUAGCUCACCGAACAGUCACCGAAGAUGUAACGGGCUAAACCAUAACCGAAGCCGUGGCAGCGACGCUUAUGCGUUGUUGGGUAGGGGAGCGUUCUGUAAGCCUGUGAAGGUGUGCUGUGAGGCAUGCUGGAGGUAUCAGAAGUGCGAAUGCUGACAUAAGUAACGAUAAAGCGGGUGAAAAGCCCGCUCGCCGGAAGACCAAGGGUUCCUGUCCAACGUUAAUCGGGGCAGGGUGAGUCGACCCCUAAGGCGAGGCCGAAAGGCGUAGUCGAUGGGAAACAGGUUAAUAUUCCUGUACUUGGUGUUACUGCGAAGGGGGGACGGAGAAGGCUAUGUUGGCCGGGCGACGGUUGUCCCGGUUUAAGCGUGUAGGCUGGUUUUCCAGGCAAAUCCGGAAAAUCAAGGCUGAGGCGUGAUGACGAGGCACUACGGUGCUGAAGCAACGUCCUUUGCUUCCGUGAAAGUUCUGGUAACAUCAACCAAAAUUCCAACCGACACACAGGUGGUCAGGUAGAGAAUACCAAGGCGCUUGAGAGAACUCGGGUGAAGGAACUAGGCAAAAUGGUGCCGUAACUUCGGGAGAAGGCACGCUGAUAUGUAGGUGAAGUCCCUCGCGGAUGGAGCUGAAAUCAGUCGAAGAUACCAGCUGGCUGCAACUGUUUAUUAAAAACACAGCACUGUGCAAACACGAAAGUGGACGUAUACGGUGUGACGCCUGCCCGGUGCCGGAAGGUUAAUUGAUGGGGUUAGCCGCAAGGCGAAGCUCUUGAUCGAAGCCCCGGUAAACGGCGGCCGUAACUAUACCCAUCCCAUAGCGAAAUUCUUUGUCGGGUAAAAGUUCCGACCUGCACGAAUGGCGUAAUGAUGGCCAGGCUGUCUCCACCCGAGACUCAGUGAAAUUGAACUCGCUGUGAAGAUGCAGUGUACCCGCGGCAAGACGGAAAGACCCCGUGAACCUUUACUAUAGCUUGACACUGAACAUUGAGCCUUGAUGUGCAGGAUAGGUGGAGCUCUAGCAAAUUGCAUGGGCCGACCUUUGAAAUACCGCACCCUAAUGUUUGAUGUUCUAACGUUGACCCGUAAUCCGUAGUUGCGACAGUGUCUGGUAGGUUUGACGCAAAGAGGAACGGAGGAGCACGAAGGUUGGCUAAUCCUGGUCGGACAUCAGGAGGUUAGUGCAAUGGCAUAAGCCAGCUUGACUGCGAGCGUGACGGCGCGAGCAGGUGCGAAAGCAGGUCAUAGUGAUCCGGUGGUUCGAAAUGGAAGGCCAUCGCCCACCGAUGCGCGUAAUUCGGUGGAUAACAGGCCGAUACCUCGCCUAAGAGUCUAUAUCGACGGCGGUGUUUGCACCGAUGUCGGCUCAUCACACCUCGGGCUGGAAGUAGGUCCUGCUGGGUAUGCUGGCUGUUCGCCAUUUAAAGUGGUAAUAAAGUUUAGAACGUCGUGAGACAGUUCAUCCCUACCUGCCGUGGGCGCUGGAGAAUGAGGGGCUGCCUCUAGCACGAGGACUGGAGGACGCAUCACUCAGGUUCGGGUUGUCAUGCCAAUGGCACCGUCUGGAAGCAGUCGCGGAAGAGAUAAGCGCUGAAAGCAUCUGCUAACGAAACUUGCCCUGAGAUGAGUUCUCCCUGACUCCUUGAGAGUCCUGAAGGAACGUUGAAGACGACGACGUUGAUAGGCCGGGUGUGUAAGCGCAGCGAUGCGUUGAGCUAACCGGUACUAAUGAACCGUGAGGCUUAACCUUACAACGCCGAAGGUGUUU